GCAUCUCGAGGCGUGUGCACCGCCGGACCUCCUGGAUGCUGGAGCAGGCUGCUUGUAGCUUGGGCUUUGAACUCUAGGAGACCAAGGUGGGACACUCAAGGCUCGUCCCUGAUGGCCCUUUGUCCCGUUCCCCCCUCCCCCCCAGGCCUCUGUUUCUCUGCCGCCUCCCCAGGGGCCUAGCUUCCUGGGUGGGUGAGUGCUCAUGGUGCUGCUGAGGAAGGUCUAGCAUUCGGGCUCAAGGAGCCCGCAGAGGUUUUUUGCUACUGCCUCUUAAGCACUGUCCCCACUCCCCACACACUGAGAUCCCCAGAAAGCUAUGUGGGCUGAGCUGGACCUGUGGACAGUCGUCCAGCACUGACAUGGGUUUGCCUGCUAACACGUGUUUCUCUUCUCACUGGUGCAGGAGCAAACAGCUCCCCGUGCAGCCAUGUCACACUGGCUGCUAGAUCCGCUCAUCACAACAGCCAAGCCACGUUUCCCUCUGAGGUGCUGAGUCUACCAGGGCCCCCGGGCCUCCCGCCAUUAACUCCCCAUCAGUACAGGUCUCUCCUGUACUGGCCUGACAGCCCCAUGAAGCAGAUAAUUAUCACCACAUCGCAAAGGUCCUGACUGAACCUGGCUGGAGCAGGGGCUGACCCUGCAAUGCCUGAUCCCAGAGAGCAGGGGCUCUGCGGCACCCUAGGACCCAGAAGCCAGCUUUCUUAGAAGGGAGGUGAGCCCUCCAUUGGCCCCCAUCUCCUCCACUUCCUCUUGUGAUGAGACUGUUUCUCCGGGGGUCAUGAGAUGAUCAAUGGCUGCUUCCAGCAGAGGCCAACAGACCAUAAGAAAGGUGGAAAGAGCCUGAGAUGAAGUGGGGAAUGGGCACCGGAGGCCCAGCUGGGUACCCUUCCCUCCAUCCGCUCUUUUCCCAAGGGCUGGGAGACAGCCAGUCAGGCCCGGACACAACCCCUAAUAAGCCAGCAUGGGGUGGGGAGGAGGAAACAAGAGACAGGCUUUGGGGGAAUCCAACCUCCACCUCCUCUGUUUAGAGGGCACAUCUUAGCCAGAGGCUGCCUUUUCUGAAGGUGUAAGAGCCAAUCCUCAAAGCCUUAACCAUGCUGUGGACACGCAGGUAACAGGCAGCGCUGACAGACGGAUGUGACCGCAGGGCCAGGAUGUGACCGCAGGGCCAGGCUGCCUGCCGUCAAACCCCUCCCUACCAGCAGGAGGGCCAAUGAACAGUGAGCCCCCGCACCCUCAUUUCUCAGCCUGGAAGUCAGAUGUGGGGAGCACAGCAGUCUCCCACAGUCCCUACAGGGCACUGGACACGCCAGAGCACAUGGGGCGUGGGCAGCUUUCACAGUCAGCCAAGCCUCUCAGAGCCUGUUUCCUGUCUGCAAAAUGGGUAAGGUACGAAGGGCCAUUCCCUUCCUUCUCCUGCGUUUGCAGUGGGCCCUGCCUGGCCCCCACCCUCCCCGCCAGCUCUGGCCUCAGGAUCACUGGGAGGAAGUGGGCCAGGCCAAGAGGGGAACAGGCCUAGUCUCCCUUUCAGUUCCGCUCCGGGCCUGGCGCUAGUCCCAGCACCAGUGAGUGCCGAGAUUAAGCAGCAAAGCCACUGGUUUCGCUCUGAAUGUGGGGCCCUCCGUGCCAGCGCCAUCCCCAGCUCCACCCCAGCAGCUGAGGAACUGCUGACCUGGCAGGCAGCGGUAGAGGACCCCCCCUCACCACGGCCGGCCCUGGCUCGCAUUCCCCUGCAGGGCGAGCGUGGCACAGGUCCUUCCCUGACUCCUCGCGGCAGCCCAUCUGCCCUGCCCAGAGCCACACAGCUCUAGAGGCAGAGCUGGGGUCUGAGCCCCAGCCUGCCCAAGGGUCAGAGCCAGUGUGUCUACCCUGCUGCCUGGUAGUGAGGAGGUGCCCGGGGCUCUGCCCAGAUUGGAGGGCCACUGAGAACAUGAGGACAGGACAACCCCACCUGUGGCCACAGUAUGGAGGGACCAGUGGAUGCCUUCCUGGUUGAGUGAUGUGAUGAGACAGAGCUGGGCUGUGUCAGCAGCUAUAGGACCACUUAGGGACUUCAGGUUCCCCUCUUCUCACACGCCCUCUAUUCCACCUGCCUUGCCAGGCCAGCAAGCAGCUACUCUCUGAACCCCCCUCCUAGUCACACUGUGCUCAGGUGAUCAAAAUGGCCAAACCACUCCAGAUAUUUGUGGUACAAAUAGAAUGUCACCCACCACAUCCUGCAGCACCCGCUACUGGGGAGCAAGUCUUCUCAGCUCCUAGCAUUUCAAAAGCUGGCUGCUUGCUUUUGGCUACUGUGACUCCAGUGGGAAUAAUCUAUUUGUUUCUUAGCUGGUUUUUGAGCUUCCUAGCAGCCAGAGCAGAGACUCUCCUCACAGUAGGGCUUACUUACAUUUCUACAGCUAACUGUAUCUGGGCUCUAUAAUUCUCACUCAAGGCUUUAGGGUUCAGUCCUGACUUGGGUAAUCUGGAUAAGGGCCCAGCCCUCCUGCCUUAGCUUGAUCAUCUGUAAGGUAGAGCUAUUUAAUAGCACCUCUCUUUUCACAGGGUUGGUAUGGUGACUAGCUGGUACUAGGUUUCCAGGCUUGGGUCUGAGGCCAGCCAAGGUGUGCAGCUUUUGUCGGCUCACUACACGAAUACGGUCCCACAGCGUUCCAAUGCUGCAGCGUUCACACGACAGCACCCUAGUAUCACAGCUUCCCACACCCGCUCUUUCAUCCUUACAGACCCUAUUUACUCCUUUACCAUCCUGCAGUGAAAGUCAGCAUAAUGUCACCUACCUGCCUACAUACCCUACGACAAAGGGCAAACAACGGAAUGUAUUGUAGUUCGCAUUAAAGUAAGAUGUACUUCUCUGGGACUGUGCAGACAACACAGUGAACCACUCGGGUGCUUCUGAGUUUGUUUAGAAGAGAUCAAGAACAUGAAGGAGCCGGAGGGCAGGGUGAGGCCUGGAAGGACAGUCACUCUAUUCAGUGGGCACUAAAGCUGGGCAUGUGCUUCUGCGUAACACCAGGUGGAGUUCUGGCUCUAGGUUUGUUGUCUCACACUUUUGGAGGGUGGAACGGACAGCUGUGCCUCAACCCACAUGUUCACCCGGUUCUCGGACUCCUGACUCAAGGGUCCCUGUGCGCCCACCGGUGGGCCUUUGGGCCCGGCUGGAACCAGACCUUCCCUACCUACCUCUCUGGGGCCCCACACCUUCACCCGCCAUCGGUCCCACAACCUGCUGCCGAAGGGGCCGAGGGCAGGGAGGGGUGGCCCUUCCAAAGUCUUGCAAGGUACUGGGCUGCGCCCUACCCUGCCAUGUCCUCACAAGCGUCUUGAGUACCCUGGAGACCCCAGCAGAGGGACUGGACAAGACCUCACCGAGCUCCAGGUGCCGGAGCCACAGCAAGAACGCAAUACACAGUCCCUGACUCUCCAAGCUUCCAUUCUAGCAAGGGAGAUGGAGGCUCCACAGGAAGGAGACAGUAAGGGCCCAGACGGGCAGGUGGGGAGGCAGCGGAGGACUGGCCUCGGCUACGCUGAGAGCAGGGCUGAGCAUCCCAGGGGCUGGGAGGAACGGGGGUUUUGCAGAGGCCCUAAGGUGGGAAGCACAUGGACACGAGGAGGCUGACAGGACUUGUGUCCCACAGUGAGGUGGUCACAGUAGGCCCCAGAAGUCCCCAGGGGGUCUUGGCUGGGGCUUAUUCCGAAGCUGCAUGUGGAAGCGGCAGCUGGGUGUGCAGAUACCGGGCACAUGCUGAAUCCCUCAACACAAGCAGGCUCGUGGGCCAGACCCAGCUCUGAUCACCGCCUCUGCAGGAAGCUGUGGGGCAGAUGGCAUCUAACUCCCCAGGCAGCAAAGGGCCUGGUACGGUGGGCCCAACAGUAUGGGCAGGCUGGGCUCCCACAAUGGCUAUGUUCCAUCCACUGCGCCAGGCCUGGCCAUUGAAGGGCCCCUUAUCCUCGAGCUAAAGCCUCGAGGAGAGACCGCCCACCAUCUGGAAUCCCGCAGGUCACAGCAGCCCCUCACUCCUCUCCUACAAUGAGCAGCAGGGGGGCAGGAAGUAGAACAUAGCAUGUAGCCACAUGCCUCUGCCCAGCACCCAAGUCCUCAAGGGGUCAUCUCUGUGGCCUGGAGCCUGGCUCUAGAGGUGGUCCAAGCCCUGGCCCGCCCCUUACUGCCUGUGGUAUCAGGCACGGCAUCAACUACAGCCUCAGUGUAUGUGGGGACAGUAAGCAGAUCCUGCUGACACACCAGGAGCAGGGGAAUGGAUGUGGGCCUGAAAACUUAACAGGCUUAGAAAAAAUUCCAGGGCCCUGUCCUAAAUAGCCGGGUCCCCCCUCACCCCAGAGCCCAAAUGGGUGCUGCCUGGAUGAACAAAUGAACAAACAGAUGAAACGUCAUUCUGGAAAAUGCUUACACCAACCUAAAAAACCAAACAGGGCCGCCCGAGUGGCGCAAUGGUUAAGAACUGGCUUGGGACGCCAGAGGGCCCCGGUUCGGAUCCCACAUAUG
This is a long non-coding RNA of Hipposideros armiger (great roundleaf bat), 4501 nucleotides long. RefSeq lists it as uncharacterized. The transcript is spliced from 3 exons. The record is from RefSeq and is a predicted model, not a curated record. NCBI's taxonomy places the organism in Eukaryota, Metazoa, Chordata, Mammalia, Chiroptera, Hipposideridae.